GAUGAACGCUAGCGGGAGGCUUAAUACAUGCAAGUCGAACGGUAACAAUUCGGUUGACGAGUGGCGCACGGGUGAGUAACGCGUACGCAACCUACCUUCAAAAGCGGGAUAGCCCUGGGAAACUGGGAUUAAUACCGCAUAGUAUUUCAAAGUCGCAUGGCUUAGAAAUUAAAGCUCCGGCGUUUGAAGAUGGGCGUGCGUGCUAUUAGCUAGUUGGUGAGGUAGAGGCUCACCAAGGCUAUGAUAGCUAGGGGGCGUGAGAGCGUGGCCCCCCACACGGGUACUGAGACACGGACCCGACUCCUACGGGAGGCAGCAGUAAGGAAUAUUGGGCAAUGGACGCAAGUCUGACCCAGCCAUCCCGCGUGUAGGAUGACUGCCCUAUGGGUUGUAAACUACUUUUGCUUGGGAAGAAUAUUGAUCAUUCAUGAUGAAUUGACGGUACCUUGCGAAUAAGCACCGGCUAACUCCG
RNAcentral lists this ribosomal RNA (472 nucleotides) under uncultured Saprospiraceae bacterium. RNAcentral describes it as "bacterial SSU rRNA". It matches the Rfam family "Bacterial small subunit ribosomal RNA", at positions 28 to 505 of the family's 1533-position model. Lineage: Bacteria; Pseudomonadati; Bacteroidota; Saprospiria; Saprospirales; Saprospiraceae. The record is from RNAcentral.